AAAAAUAAAGAAAGUAGUUUUAUGUUAAUAAUAUUAUGCACAAAAUAAUAAAAAGAAUCUAUUGGUAUAAAAAGAUUACAUAACUGUUUUUUUACUAAAAAAACAUGAUAUUGUGUACUAAAUACCUAUAUGCACAAAAAGAUGAGAAAAAUUAUUUUUUAUAAAGAAAAUAAAAUCUAAAAGAACAGUAAAAUAAAGGUGAACAUAAAAGUCUAUUAUAGUUUUUGGACAUCUCCAAUAAUAAGCGAGAUACGAAUUUUUUAAUUUGUACGAAUGAGAGCGCACCGAAAGAAGUGCAGGAGCUCGAUUCUUGAAUUCAUUCGCAAAAGAAACGUAUUUGCAAAUUCUGAUCUUAUAGAAAAGUUAGAAAUUUAUUAGCUGUUAUAUGGCUUUUAACCAAUAAACUUGCAACUUUUCUGUUUGAAAGGGUAUUUGCGCAUACGUUUCUCUUGCGAAUAAAUUCAAGAAUCAAGCCUCUGAGCCACUUUAGCUAUAGCACGGCUCAUUGUGUCAAGCAUUGGCUGCCGGUUCGAGCGGCUUAGCGCUACUUUCGGUGCGCUCUUAUUUGUUCAAUUUAAAAAAUUAUUAUUUUGGCUAUUAUUGGAGAUAUCCAAAAACUAUAGUAGAUUUUUAUGUUCACCUUAAUCUCGUCUAUCUUUCUAUUAAGUAUUGCAUACAUUAUACGAGACACCGUGUAUAUAGGGCGUUUUCUGUAAAUGGAGACCUCUCUCCCCAGAAUAUACUUCAAUAUUAAAAAAGCAGCAAGUGCGCAAAUUAUAGCUAAAAACGUCUAUUUUUAAAUGCCGUUUGGUAUUUUUUGAAAAAUUUAGUACAAGAUACCAAUAUGGUCAAAUUGAGACUAUUUUCCCUCAUUUAUGAACAGAAUAUUUGAACAAAAUAUCAAGACACAAUAUAUAGACUUUAAAAUGCGUUUUCAGAGUAGCUGAAAAUUUCUAGAUACUCAUUUUAGUUAAAAUAUUAUUUUUUGAUACUUCGAUCAAAUAUUCUGCGUUGAUACCACUGUUU
Monomorium pharaonis (pharaoh ant) is the source of this 1026-nucleotide long non-coding RNA. RefSeq lists it as uncharacterized. NCBI's taxonomy places the organism in Eukaryota, Metazoa, Arthropoda, Insecta, Hymenoptera, Formicidae. The record is from RefSeq and is a predicted model, not a curated record. The transcript has 3 exons.